This 49-nucleotide ribosomal RNA is filed under the name Streptococcus pneumoniae GA19690. Its description in RNAcentral is "partial 23S ribosomal RNA". It matches the Rfam family "tRNA", at positions 9 to 55 of the family's 71-position model. From Rfam's summary of the family: Transfer RNA (tRNA) molecules are approximately 80 nucleotides in length. Their secondary structure includes four short double-helical elements and three loops (D, anti-codon, and T loops). Lineage: Bacteria; Bacillati; Bacillota; Bacilli; Lactobacillales; Streptococcaceae. The record is from RNAcentral.
AGCUCAGUUGGUAGAGCAUCUGAUUUGUAAUCAGAGGGUCGCGUGUUCA